GGAGGAGGAGUUAAGGGUGGCUUUAGAGGCUCAGUCCCCGCGACGCCGCGCUGGUUGGUGCUCCUGCGCCGGAGGAGUUCUGCGUCUCGGGGUGGUGACUGGGUCCAGAAUGGCUUCGGAUUCGGGGAACCAGGGGACCCUCUGCACGUUGGAGUUCGCGGUGCAGAUGACCUGUCAGAGCUGUGUGGACGCGGUGCGCAAAUCCCUGCAAGGGGUGGCAGGUGUCCCGGAUGUGGAGGUGCACUUGGAGGACCAGAUGGUCUUGGUACACACCACUCUGCCCAGCCAGGAGGUGCAGGCUCUCCUGGAAGGCACGGGGCGGCAGGCGGUACUCAAGGGCAUGGGCAGCGGCCAGUUGCGUGAGUGACCACUGUGGCCUUGGCCCCUCUGGGAGGGAGGUGGCUCAGAGCUGGUACAAAUCUAAUCAUAGGAUUCUCGGGCUCUGGGUUGGAGUGGCUUUGAGGAAGGUGUGAAAAUUAUGUGAGACUCCCUGCCCUUCCCGAGCUGCUGAAGAGGUGUGCUGGGUGAGGUGGCAAGCCAGCCCAAGUGUCUAAUACCUUGCAGAAAAUCUGGGGGCAGCAGUGGCCAUCCUGGGGGGGUCUGGCACCGUGCAGGGGGUGGUGCGCUUCCUGCAGCUGACCCCUGAGCGCUGCCUCAUCGAGGGAACUAUUGAUGGCCUGGAGCCUGGGCUGCAUGGACUCCACGUCCAUCAGUACGGGGACCUUACAAACAACUGCAACAGCUGUGGGAACCACUUUAACCCUGAUGGAGCAUCUCAUGGGGGCCCCCAGGACUCUGACCGGCACCGCGGAGACCUGGGCAAUGUCCGUGCUGAUGCUGACGGCCGCGCCAUCUUCAGAAUGGAGGAUGAGCAGCUGAAGGUAAGGUGGAAAAGAAGGUGGGCACCCUUCCUAACAGGGUCCAUCAUCUGAAGCUGUCGUCUCCCCUCAAAGGUGUGGGAUGUGAUUGGCCGCAGCCUGAUUAUUGAUGAGGGAGAAGAUGACCUGGGCCGGGGAGGCCAUCCUUUAUCCAAGAUCACAGGGAACUCCGGGGAGAGGUUGGCCUGUGGCAUCAUUGCACGCUCCGCUGGCCUUUUCCAGAACCCCAAGCAGAUCUGCUCUUGCGAUGGCCUCACCAUCUGGGAGGAGCGAGGCCGGCCCAUCGCUGGCAAGGGCCGAAAGGAGUCGGCCCAGCCCCCUGCCCACCUUUGAGCAGGACCUCACCUUGGCUCUGUUGCUGUCCUCCAGGGCGAGCACUUUCCACUUCCA
RNAcentral lists this small RNA (1268 nucleotides) under Pan troglodytes (chimpanzee). Its description in RNAcentral is "retained intron". Lineage: Eukaryota; Metazoa; Chordata; Mammalia; Primates; Hominidae. The record is from RNAcentral.